This 852-nucleotide ribosomal RNA is filed under the name Triticum aestivum (bread wheat). Its description in RNAcentral is "partial small subunit ribosomal RNA". Lineage: Eukaryota; Viridiplantae; Streptophyta; Magnoliopsida; Poales; Poaceae. The record is from RNAcentral.
AUGACCUCCAACGUGGACGACGUGCAAGAGCGAGUCUUGGCCGAGAUCCUCUCCCGGAACGCCGCAACGGAGUACCUCAGGGACUGCGGCGGCCCCAUCGACCGCGCCACCUUUCGGGCCAUGGUGCCGGUGGUGUCGUACGACGCUCUCAAGCCGUACAUCAAGCGCAUCGCCAACGGAGACAGGUCGCCCGUCAUGUCGACGCACCCCGUCUCCGACUUCCUCACCAGCUCCGGCAACUCCGGCGGCGAGCGCAAGCUGAUUCCCAGCACCGCGGAGGAGGGCCGCCGACGCCAGCUUCCCUUCGGCCUCCUUAAGGCAGUCAUGAACUUGCACUUCCCUGGGCUUGACAAGGGGAAGGGGCUCUACUUUCUCUUCGUCAAGUCGGAGACCAAGACGCCGGGCGGGCUGACGGCGUGGCCGAUGAUGACAAGCAUUUGCAAGAGCGAGCAGUUCAAGGACCCCUUGCGCGACCACACGAGCCCGAGGGCGGCCGUGCUCUGCGCGGACACGUCCCAGAGCAUGUACGCGCAGAUAGUAUGCGGCCUGUGCCAGCGCCACGACGUGCUCCGCGUCGGCGCCGCCUUCGCCUCCGGCCUGCUGCGCGUCAUCCGCUUCCUCCAGCUCAACUGGGAGCAGCUCGCCGCCGACAUCGAGGCCGGCACGCUCGCCCCGUGCGUGAGCGACGCGUCGGUGCGCGAGGCGGUCGCCGGCAUCCUCCGCCGCCCGGACCCCGAGCUUGCCCGCUUCGUCCGGGACGAGUGCCGCACGGGCGAAUGGGCCGGCAUCGUCCCGCGCAUCUGGCCCAACGCGAGGUACAUCGAUGCCAUCGUCACUAGUGUCAGCAAAUAA